AUUUUUCUGAAGAGUGCCAAAGAGCAUGAAACCCGGGUCGAGGAU
Molecule: non-coding RNA, 45 nt
Organism: Schistosoma mattheei
Lineage: Eukaryota; Metazoa; Platyhelminthes; Trematoda; Strigeidida; Schistosomatidae
Source: Rfam